This 99-nucleotide transfer RNA is filed under the name Perianthomega vellozoi. Its description in RNAcentral is "partial tRNA-Leu". The record is from RNAcentral. Lineage: Eukaryota; Viridiplantae; Streptophyta; Magnoliopsida; Lamiales; Bignoniaceae.
GACUUAAAAUCCSUCGACUUUUAAAAUCGUGAGGGUUCAAGUCCCUCUAUCCCCAAAAAAGCCUAUUUGACUCCCCAAAAAAAUAUUUAACCUAUCCCC